UUGUUUAGGGGUCAGGCCUCAGCCUCCCACUGGCUCUGUCAGCUUCGCCUGAGGUUCCCCAUCUGUGCAAUGGGUGAUGACAUCUUGGUGUGGCUCUGGGAGGACCUGUUGAGCCACCUCAGGGGCUGAGCUGGUGGCACUCGGCAGCCAGCACCCUCUGGGGAGGUGGCAGUGUGUGCACAGCCCACCCCUUCAGGAGGCCAGGGGACAGAGUGGCUGGGGGUGUCUGGGCCCCACCUCACCUUCUGUGUGGCUGGGAAUGGCAUGCACUCCACAAUGCCCUCAUAAGCCUAGGCUGGGACAAGGGUGAUAGGGAUAAAGCAGGCCAAGGUGAUGAGGGCCACAGAGCGGCAGCCAGAGGCAUGUGGGCAGUGCAGCCUCCACACCAGGCAGAGGGCCCGGCCAGCAUGGCUCCACCCUGGGAAGCUGCCUGCCACUGGGAUCAGAUGGGAGCACCAGGGCUCUGGGAGGUCCUCACUUCCUCUGGACAAGGCAGGCAGGUCACCAGCCCUGUGCCCUGCUCAUCUCCCUCAGGGCCACCUCCAUGGCCAGGGGCAGGCAGAGAGCACAGGGCUGCCCAGUCACCAGGUCUCUCUGCUUCAUAUCAGUGGACCUGGGCUCUGAGGGGAGCCAUCAAGACCUCAGGCUGGCCCACUCCGUCCUUGAGUCAGGGUCCUACAGACUGACACCAGGUGCAGGGACAGCCUGGCAGUUGUCUGAAGACCCCGGGAUGGGCUUAGGAGCUCAUCAUCAUCGGAUGCCCCCCGAGCAGAAGACGGAGAAGGAACACCCCCACCCUGUGUGGUGUGUGUAGGGGUGUCACUGGGUUCUCUGGCUCCAUGACGCCCCCCCGGCCCCGCUGGGGGCUGGCUUAGUAGAGUGGGGGAUGAUACUAAGCAGGCGGCCUCGGAGAGCGUCUUCUGGGUUUGGAGGCCACAUUCCGCAGGAAGGAAGAGGUGGGGGACCCCUGCAGGGUUAUGGGUAACAUCAGGCCUGGGUCCCCUCCCUGGGGUGGUGCAGAGAGGGCCACAAAGGCCCAAGAGGGCCCCCAGAACGCUCUUAAGCCUUGAGCCUGUUUCUU
This 1081-nucleotide long non-coding RNA is filed under the name Homo sapiens (human). RNAcentral's name for it is "HSALNT0275207". Lineage: Eukaryota; Metazoa; Chordata; Mammalia; Primates; Hominidae. The record is from RNAcentral.